This 445-nucleotide long non-coding RNA is filed under the name Mytilus galloprovincialis (Mediterranean mussel). Lineage: Eukaryota; Metazoa; Mollusca; Bivalvia; Mytilida; Mytilidae. The record is from RNAcentral.
AAUGUAAAACAAUUCAAACGAGAAAACUAACGGCCUUAUUUAUGUACAAAAAAUGAACGAAAAACAAAUAUGUAACACAUAAACAAACGCCAACCACUGGCUCCUGACUUGGGACAGUCACAUAAACAGAGAUUGUGGCGGUGUUAAACAUGUUGGUGGGAUCCCAAACCCUCCCCUAACCUGGGACAUUGGUGUAAUAGUACAACAUAAGAACGAACUAUAUGAAUCCGCUGAAAAAAGGCUUAACUCAUCAUAUGGAUAAAAAUACAAACACUACAAAUAAGUGGACGUGACCGGGUACUUGUACAUCCCACCACCAAACGACACUAAGUGCAGAUCUGAGAGUACUCGCAGUUACUUAAAGCUAGAUCAAAACCACUGACAACUAAUUAAAAAAAACAUCCAAGACUAAAUUAUCAAUCAGUACACAUCUACCAUCCAAUCG